Molecule: ribosomal RNA, 253 nt
Filed under: uncultured bacterium
Lineage: Bacteria
Description: partial 16S ribosomal RNA
Rfam family: Bacterial small subunit ribosomal RNA
Source: RNAcentral
UACGUAGGGUGCGAGCGUUAAUCGGAAUUACUGGGCGUAAAGCGUGCGCAGGCGGUGAUGUAAGACAGAUGUGAAAUCCCCGGGCUCAACCUGGGAACUGCAUUUGUGACUGCAUUGCUGGAGUGCGGCAGAGGGGGAUGGAAUUCCGCGUGUAGCAGUGAAAUGCGUAGAUAUGCGGAGGAACACCGAUGGCGAAGGCAAUCCCCUGGGCCUGUACUGACGCUCAUGCACGAAAGCGUGGGGAGCAAACAGG